Molecule: long non-coding RNA, 448 nt
Filed under: Prunus dulcis (almond)
Lineage: Eukaryota; Viridiplantae; Streptophyta; Magnoliopsida; Rosales; Rosaceae
Description: sRNA ncRNA
Source: RNAcentral
UCACAAUGGAUUAACAAUCUUAAUUUCAAGCUUUCUGUAAACUCUGACAACUUCCAAAUUCUAAGGAAAACAUGUGCCAUGUUUAUUUGAGACCUUUAAUGAGCUAUCUACAGAGAUCACAUCAGGGUUCACAAUGACUAAAGGCCUAGACUAGUAUCAAUAGUGCACAUGAAAAGGAUUAAAACAGUUUUGCACGUUGAAUGAAAGUACAUAAUUGUAUAUUUGCCGUUACCACCACAUGCAUCUAAGUUUUAACAAGAAAAUGAAUCCUUCAAAUAAAAGGCAAGAAAAUUGAAACAGAGAAUAAAAACCUAGCCACAAAAGGUGCAGCUUGGCUAGCUGAGUCAAAAACUUCACGCAAAGGUUGCUCACUUUCUCCAUGGUAUUGUUUCACAACUUCAGAUCCAUUGACAGAGAAAAAUUCAUAAUCGAGCCAAAUAAGUCUUUC